AUUUGAAAUCUGGUAGCCUUCGGUUGCCCGAGUUGUAAUCUAGAGAAGUGUUUUCCGCGUUGGCCCAUGUACAAGUCCCUUGGAACAGGGCGUCAUAGAGGGUGAGAAUCCCGUCCUUGACAUGGACCCCCAAUGCUUUGUGAUACACUUUCAACGAGUCGAGUUGUUUGGGAAUGCAGCUCAAAAUGGGUGGUGAAUUCCAUCUAAAGCUAAAUAUUGGCGAGAGACCGAUAGCGAACAAGUACCGUGAGGGAAAGAUGAAAAGCACUUUGGAAAGAGAGUUAAACAGUACGUGAAAUUGUUGAAAGGGAAACGAUUGAAGUCAGUCAUGCUCUUUGGAUUAAGCCGUUCUGCGGUGUAUUUCAUUGAGCGGGGUCAACAUCAGUUUUGAUCGCUGGAAAAGGGCAGGAGGAAGGUAGCACUCUCGGGUGAACUUAUAGCCUCUUGUCGUAUACAGUGAUUGGGACUGAGGAACGCAGCAUGCCUUUUGGCCGGGAUUCGUCCACGUACAUGCUUAGGAUGUUGACAUAAUGGCUUUAAACGACCCGUCUUG
This 553-nucleotide ribosomal RNA is filed under the name Naganishia globosa. RNAcentral describes it as "eukaryotic LSU rRNA". It matches the Rfam family "Eukaryotic large subunit ribosomal RNA", at positions 113 to 656 of the family's 3401-position model. The record is from RNAcentral. Lineage: Eukaryota; Fungi; Basidiomycota; Tremellomycetes; Filobasidiales; Filobasidiaceae.